Molecule: ribosomal RNA, 427 nt
Filed under: uncultured Rahnella sp.
Lineage: Bacteria; Pseudomonadati; Pseudomonadota; Gammaproteobacteria; Enterobacterales; Yersiniaceae
Description: bacterial SSU rRNA
Rfam family: Bacterial small subunit ribosomal RNA
Source: RNAcentral
UGGGGAAUAUUGCACAAUGGGCGCAAGCCUGAUGCAGCCAUGCCGCGUGUGUGAAGAAGGCCUUAGGGUUGUAAAGCACUUUCAGCGAGGAGGAAGGCAUCACACUUAAUACGUGUGGUGAUUGACGUUACUCGCAGAAGAAGCACCGGCUAACUCCGUGCCAGCAGCCGCGGUAAUACGGAGGGUGCAAGCGUUAAUCGGAAUUACUGGGCGUAAAGCGCACGCAGGCGGUUUGUUAAGUCAGAUGUGAAAUCCCCGCGCUUAACGUGGGAACUGCAUUUGAAACUGGCAAGCUAGAGUCUUGUAGAGGGGGGUAGAAUUCCAGGUGUAGCGGUGAAAUGCGUAGAGAUCUGGAGGAAUACCGGUGGCGAAGGCGGCCCCCUGGACAAAGACUGACGCUCAGGUGCGAAAGCGUGGGGAGCAAACA